GAGGCCACGCCGGAGAGAUGCGCCCGGGCUGGCGGCUGUAUCCCCCCCUCCACCUCCCCCUUUGUUUCUGUGGGCCCUCUCCUGUCUGUGCCUAUGUGGGGGCGAGUGGAUACAAGUGGAGUGCAGGGCCGCUGAACAAGCUUCCACCAGAAACCGCAUCAUCCAGAGCCCGUGGGCUGGAUCCCGCGCCUGCAGGAGCACCCACGAAGCUUCACUCCAUUCCUGCCUGUAUGUCUGGGGGCAUCGAGAGCGAGCAAGGAAGCCGGGCUCACCUCCGCUCCUCACCUCGGGAGGACUGGACCAAGUUCCCCCAAAGGCCCAGCCAGGCUGAACUGGCCCAGAUUAAUAAAGACGUGACCUGCCCGCACCCACCCA
Long non-coding RNA from Neogale vison (American mink), 375 nucleotides. RefSeq lists it as uncharacterized. Lineage: Eukaryota; Metazoa; Chordata; Mammalia; Carnivora; Mustelidae. The record is from RefSeq and is a predicted model, not a curated record. The transcript is spliced from 2 exons.